RNAcentral lists this ribosomal RNA (187 nucleotides) under uncultured rumen bacterium. RNAcentral's name for it is "partial 16S ribosomal RNA". It matches the Rfam family "Bacterial small subunit ribosomal RNA", at positions 340 to 524 of the family's 1533-position model. The record is from RNAcentral.
UACGGGAGGCAGCAGUGAGGAAUAUUGGUCAAUGGGCGCGAGCCUGAACCAGCCAAGUAGCGUGCAGGACGACGGCCCUAUGGGUUGUAAACUGCUUUUAUGCGGGGAUAAAGUGAGGGACGUGUCCCUUAUUGCAGGUACCGCAUGAAUAAGGACCGGCUAAUUCCGUGCCAGCAGCCGCGGUAAU